Molecule: transfer-messenger RNA, 176 nt
Filed under: Candidatus Rokuibacteriota bacterium
Lineage: Bacteria; Candidatus Rokuibacteriota
Description: partial transfer-messenger RNA
Rfam family: transfer-messenger RNA
About the family: Bacterial tmRNA, also known as 10Sa RNA or SsrA, is named for its dual tRNA and mRNA-like properties.
Source: RNAcentral
UGGCUGGCUCCGAACCUGGCCUCAGGGGAGGGGCGAGACCAUUGAGGCUGGUCCCGCGGUGAUCCUGCCGAUCGGAGUGCCGCGGGGCGAGAGGUUGGAGAGUAGACCGGCUAUCGACGUAGACGCCUGCGGCUGAGGGUUCCCGGACGUGGGUUCGAUUCCCACCGCCUCCACCA